CUACGGGAGGCAGCAGUGAGGAAUAUUGCACAAUGGGGGGAACCCUGAUGCAGCAACGCCGUGUGGAGGAUGACGCAUUUCGGUGUGUAAACUCCUUUUAUAUGUCAAGAAAAUGACGGUAGCAUAUGAAUAAGCACCGGCUAACUCCGUGCCAGCAGCCGCGGUAAUACGGAGGGUGCAAGCGUUACUCGGAAUCACUGGGCGUAAAGGACGCGUAGGCGGGUUGGAAAGUCAGGUGUGAAAUCCUACAGCUUAACUGUAGAACUGCACUUGAAACUUCUAAUCUAGAGUAUGGGAGGGGAGAUGGAAUUAGUGGUGUAGGGGUAAAAUCCGUAGAUAUCACUAGGAAUACCUAAAGCGAAGGCGAUCUCCUGGAACAUUACUGACGCUAAGGCGUGAAAGCGUGGGGAGCAAACAGGAUUAAUACCCGUGUAGUC
This 437-nucleotide ribosomal RNA is filed under the name uncultured bacterium. RNAcentral describes it as "partial 16S ribosomal RNA". It matches the Rfam family "Bacterial small subunit ribosomal RNA", at positions 339 to 795 of the family's 1533-position model. The record is from RNAcentral.